RNAcentral lists this ribosomal RNA (356 nucleotides) under uncultured bacterium. RNAcentral's name for it is "bacterial SSU rRNA". It matches the Rfam family "Bacterial small subunit ribosomal RNA", at positions 1 to 334 of the family's 1533-position model. The record is from RNAcentral.
CUAGCGACUUCAGAGUUUGAUCCUGGCUCAGGAGAAACGCUGGCGGCGUGCAUAACACAUUCAAGUCGAACGGGAAUCUUUUAACGGAGACUUCGGUCAAAGUUGAGAGAGGAUAGUGGCGGACGGGUGAGUAACGCGUGAGCAACCUGCCUUAGUGAGGGGGAUAACACAGGGAAACUUGUGCUAAUACCGCAUGACGCAUACUGAUUGCAUGUUUGGUAUGUUAAAGGAGUAAUCCGCAUUAAGAUGGGCUCGCGUCUGAUUAGAUAGUUGGUGGGGUAACGGCCUACCAAGUCGACGAUCAGUAGCCGGACUGAGAGGUUGAACGGCCACAUUGGAACUGAGAAACGGUCCAG